This 253-nucleotide ribosomal RNA is filed under the name uncultured bacterium. Its description in RNAcentral is "partial 16S ribosomal RNA". It matches the Rfam family "Bacterial small subunit ribosomal RNA", at positions 524 to 776 of the family's 1533-position model. The record is from RNAcentral.
UACAUGGGGUGCAAACGUUGCUCGGAAUUAUUGGGCGUAAAGCGCGCGUAGGCGGUUACUUAAGUCGGAUGUGAAAGCCCUCGGCUUAACUGAGGAAGUGCACCCGAAACUGAGUAGCUAGAGUACUAAAGAGGGUCGAGGAAUUCCCGGUGUAGAGGUGAAAUUCGUAGAUAUCGGGAGGAACACCGGUGGCGAAGGCGGCGACCUGGGUAGAUACUGACGCUGAGGCGCGAAAGCGUGGGGAGCAAGCAGG